Long non-coding RNA from Epinephelus fuscoguttatus (brown-marbled grouper), 283 nucleotides. RefSeq lists it as uncharacterized. The record is from RefSeq and is a predicted model, not a curated record. Lineage: Eukaryota; Metazoa; Chordata; Actinopteri; Perciformes; Serranidae. The transcript has 3 exons.
CUGAUGCCAUGCAUCCCAUUAACCAGAGAGAGACAGAGAGCGCCUGUCACAGAAAAAAAUGGCGGAGCAUUGUUCCGAUGCAUUCCCGCAGUACUACACCCCAUCACUGACCAUAUCUCAGGAUCAGAAGGGGAGACAUUUGGUCGGAUACUGAAUUGGCGACACUAAUCUUGGGUGCCCAUCUUCUGAUGUGUGAAGAUGAGUGGUACUUCUCCCCUUGCCGCCGCCUUCAUCCUGACCACUGCCGCCGGACCUCCGCCACCUGAUGGGUAGAGAGCUCUGA